This 460-nucleotide ribosomal RNA is filed under the name uncultured bacterium. RNAcentral describes it as "partial 16S ribosomal RNA". It matches the Rfam family "Bacterial small subunit ribosomal RNA", at positions 338 to 795 of the family's 1533-position model. The record is from RNAcentral.
CCUACGGGAGGCUGCAGUGAGGAAUAUUGCUCAAUGGACGAAAGUCUGAUCCAGCGAAGUCGCGUGAGUGAUGACUUCCCUAUGUGUUGUAAACUUCUUUUAUAUGGGAAUAAAAUGUUCCUCGUGUGGGACUUUGUAUGUACCAUAUGAAUAAGGCUCGGCUAACUCCGUGCCCGCAGCCGCGGUAAUACGGAGGAUCCGAGCGUUAUCCGGAUUUAUUGGGUUUAAAGGGCGCGGAGGGGGAUUGUUAAGUCAGUUGUGAAAGUUGGCGGCUCAACCGUAGAAUUGCAGUUGAAACUGGCGAUCUUGAGUACAGUAGAGGGGGGCGGAAUGCGGGGUGUAGCGGUGACAUGCUUAGAUAUCACGAAGAACGCCGAUUGCGAAGGCAGCUCACUGGACCGCAACUGACACUGAGGCUCGAAAGUGUGGGUAUCAAACAGGAGUAGAUACCCGAGUAGUC